GCCGGGCGCGGUGGCGCGCGCCUGUAGUCCCAGCUACUCGGGAGGCUGAGGUGGGAGGAUCGCUUGAGUCCAGGAGUUCUGGGCUGCAGUGCGCUAUGCCGAUCGGGUGUCCGCACUAAGUUCGGCAUCAAUAUGGUGACCUCCCGGGAGCGGGGGACCACCAGGUUGCCUAAGGAGGGGUGAACCGGCCCAGGUCGGAAACGGAGCAGGUCAAAACUCCCGUGCUGAUCAGUAGUGGGAUCGCGCCUGUGAAUAGCCACUGUACUCCAGCCUGGGCAAUAUAGUGAGACCCUGUCUCU
This 299-nucleotide signal recognition particle RNA is filed under the name Chinchilla lanigera (long-tailed chinchilla). Its description in RNAcentral is "Metazoan signal recognition particle RNA (ENSCLAG00000021446.1)". It matches the Rfam family "Metazoan signal recognition particle RNA". From Rfam's summary of the family: The signal recognition particle (SRP) is a universally conserved ribonucleoprotein. It is involved in the co-translational targeting of proteins to membranes. Lineage: Eukaryota; Metazoa; Chordata; Mammalia; Rodentia; Chinchillidae. The record is from RNAcentral.